This 503-nucleotide ribosomal RNA is filed under the name uncultured bacterium. RNAcentral's name for it is "partial 16S ribosomal RNA". It matches the Rfam family "Bacterial small subunit ribosomal RNA", at positions 28 to 523 of the family's 1533-position model. The record is from RNAcentral.
GAUGAACGCUAGCGGCAGGCCUAACACAUGCAAGUCGAGGGGUAGCAGGAUUAAGCUUGCUUAAUUGCUGACGACCGGCGCACGGGUGCGUAACGCGUAUGCAACCUACCUUAUACUGGGGUAUAGCCCGGAGAAAUUCGGAUUAAUCCCCCAUAGUACUAAUGAAUCGCAUGGUUUAUUAGUUAAAGCAUUGCGGUAUAAGAUGGGCAUGCGUCCUAUUAGCUAGAUGGUGAGGUAACGGCUCACCAUGGCUACGAUAGGUAGGGGGCCUGAGAGGGUGGUCCCCCACACUGGUACUGAGACACGGACCAGACUCCUUCGGGAGGCAGCAGUGAGGAAUAUUGGUCAAUGGGCGCAAGCCUGAACCAGCCAUGCCGCGUGCAGGAAGAAUGCCCUAUGGGUUGUAAACUGCUUUUAUUUGGGAAUAAACCUCUUUACGUGUAGAGAGCUGAAGGUACCAGAUGAAUAAGCACCGGCUAACUCCGUGCCAGCAGCCGCAGUAA